RNAcentral lists this ribosomal RNA (438 nucleotides) under uncultured bacterium. RNAcentral's name for it is "bacterial SSU rRNA". It matches the Rfam family "Bacterial small subunit ribosomal RNA", at positions 340 to 774 of the family's 1533-position model. The record is from RNAcentral.
UACGGGAGGCAGCAGUGGGGAAUAUUGCACAAUGGGCGCAAGCCUGAUGCAGCCAUGCCGCGUGUAUGAAGAAGGCCUUCGGGUUGUAAAGUACUUUCAGUCGUGAGGAAGGUGUUAAGGUUAAUAACCUUAGCAAUUGACGUUAGCGACAGAAGAAGCACCGGCUAACUCCGUGCCAGCAGCCGCGGUAAUACGGAGGGUGCGAGCGUUAAUCGGAAUUACUGGGCGUAAAGGGCACGCAGGCGGUUAAUAAGUUGGAUGUGAAAUCCCCGGGCUUAACCUGGGAAUGGCAUUCAAGACUGGUUAGCUAGAGUCUUGUAGAGGGGGUAGAAUUCCAUGUGUAGCGGUGAAAUGCGUAGAGAUGUGGAGGAAUACCGGUGCGAAGGCGGCCCCUGGACAAAGACUGACGCUCAUGUGCGAAAGCGUGGGGAGCAAACG